Molecule: ribosomal RNA, 253 nt
Filed under: uncultured bacterium
Lineage: Bacteria
Description: partial 16S ribosomal RNA
Rfam family: Bacterial small subunit ribosomal RNA
Source: RNAcentral
UACGUAGGGGGCAAGCGUUGUCCGGAUUUAUUGGGCGUAAAGAGCGUGUAGGCGGCCUGUUAGGUCAGCUGUGAAAACUCGAGGCUCAACCUCGAGACGUCGGUUGAAACCAUCUGGCUAGAGUCCGGAAGAGGAGAGUGGAAUUCCCGGUGUAGCGGUGAAAUGCGCAGAUAUCAGGAAGAACACCCGUGGCGAAGGCGGCUCUCUGGGACGUUACUGACGCUGAGACGCGAAAGCGUGGGGAGCGAACAGG